Long non-coding RNA from Gasterosteus aculeatus aculeatus (three-spined stickleback), 729 nucleotides. NCBI's taxonomy places the organism in Eukaryota, Metazoa, Chordata, Actinopteri, Perciformes, Gasterosteidae. The record is from Ensembl.
CUUCUACUUGGAUGUUUAUUUGUUAAUCAAUAUAUACAAUUUCUAUCAGGACGUUUUUUCAUCAUUAAACACCUCUAUUUUUGAAAAAUAAAUCUGAAAUAAAAAUAUAAUUGCCAAAGGCAGUUUUCCUCUCACCUGAUUUGGACAGAGUCUGGACACACUGAGGGGCCGAUUUCGGGGAAGCAGCCAUGGAGAAGGUUGGGAAGGAGAAGUUGGCCACAGCACAGUAGUUCUGACCUGGAGCCAAACCAGAGAACUCCACAUGGGACACCAGCUCCUGGGUCCAGACCGUGCGGCUCUGCAGGAUCACGCAGCACUCUGCAUUUACUGUGGUCCAGGGGUCAAUCAUCUCAGAGAUGGGACAACACCCCCCCAGAGAGCACCUCCUGUUGGCUGCACAGGGGAACUGCACCAUCACAAGUAGCUGGUCGUCGCUCAAAGAGGCCGUGACGGAGGGAGGACUGAAGGCUUGACGGAGGGGGAGAGAGGGUGUUCAUUUUCACAUUCAACAUCAAAAAGGACGCGCAGACUCUCACUGACUGAAGUCACUGUAGUCAAACUUGCGUGGCCUCAUCCAGGCGGUGGACACGGGGCCGAGGUGGACGCCCAGACGGACCAUGUUGUACAGCUCGAAGUUUGAGAAGACGUGCGAGAGGUCACAGGUGUGGGACGAGAGCCAAACGCACCACGGUACGUCCUGCCAGGGGUCCCUGCAACGAGAGGACGCGG